RNAcentral lists this ribosomal RNA (814 nucleotides) under uncultured Actinomycetes bacterium. RNAcentral's name for it is "bacterial SSU rRNA". It matches the Rfam family "Bacterial small subunit ribosomal RNA", at positions 335 to 1167 of the family's 1533-position model. Lineage: Bacteria; Bacillati; Actinomycetota; Actinomycetes. The record is from RNAcentral.
ACUCCUACGGGAGGCAGCAGUGGGGAAUAUUGCACAAUGGGGGAAACCCUGAUGCAGCGACGCCGCGUGCGGGAUGAAGGCCUUCGGGUUGUAAACCGCUUUCAGCAGGGGCGAAUCAAGACGGUACCUGCAGAAGAAGCGCCGGCUAACUACGUGCCAGCAGCCGCGGUAAUACGUAGGGCGCAAGCGUUGUCCGGAAUUAUUGGGCGUAAAGAGCUCGUAGGCGGCCUGUUGCGUCCGCUGUGAAAUCCCAGGGCUUAACCCUGGGCCUGCAGUGGAUACGGGCAGGCUGGAGGCAGGCAGGGGAGAACGGAAUUCCCGGUGUAGCGGUGAAAUGCGCAGAUAUCGGGAGGAACACCGGUGGCGAAGGCGGUUCUCUGGGCCUGUACUGACGCUGAGGAGCGAAAGCGUGGGGAGCGAACAGGAUUAGAUACCCUGGUAGUCCACGCCGUAAACGUUGGGCGCUAGGUGUGGGUCCCUUCCACGGGGUCUGUGCCGCAGCUAACGCAUUAAGCGCCCCGCCUGGGGAGUACGGCCGCAAGGCUAAAACUCAAAGAAAUUGACGGGGGCCCGCACAAGCGGCGGAGCAUGUUGCUUAAUUCGACGCAACGCGAAGAACCUUACCAAGGUUUGACAUGGCCGGAAAACUCAUGGAGACAUGGGGUCCUUCGGGGCCGGUCACAGGUGGUGCAUGGCUGUCGUCAGCUCGUGUCGUGAGAUGUUGGGUUAAGUCCCGCAACGAGCGCAACCCUCGUCCAAUGUUGCCAGCGGGUAAUGCCGGGGACUCAUUGGAGACUGCCGGGGUCAACUCGGA